GGAAUUGUUCGCAAUGGGCGCAAGCCUGACGACGCAACGCCGCGUGGAGGAUGAAGGUCUUCGGAUUGUAAACUCCUGUUGAUCGGGACGAACAACCAUCGGGAUAACACCCCGGAGGUCUGACGGUACCGAUUGAGGAAGCCCCGGCUAACUCUGUGCCAGCAGCCGCGGUAAUACAGAGGGGGCAAGCGUUGUUCGGAAUUACUGGGCGUAAAGGGUUCGUAGGUGGCCAACUAAGUCAUACGUGAAAUCCCUCAGCUUAACUGGGGAACUGCGUCUGAUACUGGUUGGCUUGAGUGCAGGAGAGGAACGCGGAAUUCCAGGUGUAGCGGUGAAAUGCGUAGAUAUCUGGAGGAACACCGGUGGCGAAGGCGGCGUUCUGGACUGUAACUGACACUGAGGAACGAAAGCCAGGGGAGCAAAC
This 424-nucleotide ribosomal RNA is filed under the name uncultured bacterium. RNAcentral's name for it is "bacterial SSU rRNA". It matches the Rfam family "Bacterial small subunit ribosomal RNA", at positions 358 to 773 of the family's 1533-position model. The record is from RNAcentral.